RNAcentral lists this ribosomal RNA (253 nucleotides) under uncultured bacterium. Its description in RNAcentral is "partial 16S ribosomal RNA". It matches the Rfam family "Bacterial small subunit ribosomal RNA", at positions 524 to 776 of the family's 1533-position model. The record is from RNAcentral.
UACGUAGGGGGCGAGCGUUGUCCGGAGUUACUGGGCGUAAAGGGCGUGCAGGCGGUCCGACACGUUUUGUGUGACAGCGGGUGGCUUAACUACCCGAGGAUACGAAAGACGGUGGGACUUGAGGACUCGAGAGGGACACGGAAUUCCGGGUGGAGUGGUGAAAUGCGUAGAGAUCCGGAGGAACACCAAAGGCGAAGGCAGUGUCCUGGCGAGUGACUGACGCUGAGGUGCGAAAGCCAGGGGAGCGAACGGG